CAGUUUUAAUUUAUUUGAGAUCAUACAACUAUACAAUUCAGGUCUGGCCAGCCAAUUCUGAAUAACAGGUACAUCGCAGAAGAACACACACCACAGUAAAGACAGCCAGGGAGUGAUUAAGACCUAAUUUUUAAACAGUUAAAUUCUUAAGACUAAGGGGCUAUUUCUUCAGCAACCCAGGUAGCAAUGUAUAGUAAAGCUAUGCAUAUUAGGAAAAUUCACUUUAUGUUGACACCCUUAGUAUGGGGAAAAAAUAAAAUGUAACCUAGGAGAAAAAUCUUAAAAAUCUUCAAAGCAAAUUCAGAAAACCUCCCCUUUGUCACCAGCUGUGCAAAGAUUGCAUUCAUGUAGCAUACGGUUUGCUAAGUUGAGGUGUUUACCAGGGCAACUUAGACUAUCGCGAUCGGCCCAACUGUAUUUAAAACCAACAACCAAACUACCGUUGGUGAUGUGCAUACCAGUGGCUUGUGAUUAGCAAAACCAAAAAGCGUGCAGUGUUAGCUGCUGUGAGCUGUUCCUAAAGUUAGAUGCGUAAGGUUUUACAUAUGCAAUCAAUUUCACCUGACAGACAUGCAUCAAAGCCAUCAUCAGUGGGUCCCAAACUACAGCCAGUGAUAAGUUUUGCCCUGUAUUUUACCCCUUGUACUGCUGUUUAUCAUGCUUUCUUCUUCAAAUCAAAACAUGUUAGAUUUAAACAUAUUCAGAAGAAAAUGAUGAGUAGCAGUACCUAAAAUCAUCUCUAAAAGGCAUUCUUUGGAAAACACUUACAUAAGAAAACGAGGAUUUCCAAACUAACUCUACAAGACAGAGACAUGCUGGUAGAGAAGUCAGAAUCCUUAGAGCGCCUGGGAAAGUGGUGGGUAAAUCACAUGUUCAGAUUACAGUUUGCUCUUGUUGGCUUUAUUUAAGAAGCAAGUUAAUGUUUACAUGACAUUGGACUUCAAAGUCCAGACAAUAAGGAGGAAAACAGAGAGAGAGAAAUGAUCCAUGUGGGUUUGCUCCGUGCUCCUCCCUGCCCAGCGGAGAGGCAGGGUGGUUGGGAGUGAUGAGAUGGCCUCUGGAGGGAACUGAAGUAAGGGGUGGAUUCUUCUCAGGGUGGAGUUAUUUUUCACCAAAUCAUAAAAAUGUAUCGCGCUAAGGUAUAAGUGCUGUUUCCUAACCCACCACGUUUAUUCUUGUUGGACUUUCAGUCUCUCUUUAAAGAAAAGUCCUCUUUUCCACAACCUCUGUAUGAAAUUCUGUGCCUAACUUCUCUCAAUGACAAUGCACUCUCUCCUGUUGCCUUUUCAUAAUGGUAGACCUGGUGCAUAGGAACAAAUGCUGUUUGCAGAUUUUAUUGAUACACUUUAUACAAUGAAAAGAGCCUCACUUCAGUGCUGUUUUGGGAUAUGUCCUUUCUGAUUCCUCCCUAUUGAGGCAGGUGGAGGGUCACUUUUCCUGGCUUGGUGAUUAGGCCUCCGUACACCUAGCAGCCUGCAGGUGGACAAGGCAGGGGGCUUUGCCAGGCGGGCCCUGAACAAUUCAUCCUUUUAGGCUUGUUUUGAAGGGGACCUCCCCACCUGCAGGAAAGGCACGUGGCCUGUGUUAUACAAUCUUGUGAUGCAGUGUGUUGAGGUGUGCAUACUGAGAUACACUUAGAAAUGUUAAAUCCCAGGAAAGUUCUUUUUAAAGUCAAAUGCCAUGGUUCGCAAGUCAGCGUGUUCUUAAGAGAGUCAGAAGACAGCAAACAGAGAUGGAUAUGUUUCCUUCCUGUUAAAAGGCAAGGGUAGGCUGCACAUGGUGACUCCCUUCCAAAGAGCACAGUAUGCAGAAGUGGGGAAGAGCGACUUCACUGAGAAGAAAGCUAACAACGUACCCCAGAUGGAGGACUACGUGAACACAGAUGACUCUUGCUGCCGGCCUGCCCCUUGACACCAUGCGUCAUGAGAUUCGUGUGAUGAGGCUGCACUUUGCUCUGUGGGCUCCCUCUCAAACCCGUAACCCCAGUCUAACCACAAGAAAAGCAUUGAACUCACAUUAAAGGAAAUCCUAUAAAUACUUGACCAUCACUCUCAAAAUGCUCUGGCUCAUCAAAAACAAGGACAGUGUGAGAAAAUUGUCAAAGGCCAGAGUAACCUCAGGAGAUGUGUCAGCUCAGUGUAACAUGACACACGAGAUACCUUCCUAGGACAGAAAAUGGAAACUGUUUUAAAAUGAAGGGAAUUGAAUAAAGCAUGCACUUUGGUUAAUAA
Chinchilla lanigera (long-tailed chinchilla) is the source of this 2231-nucleotide long non-coding RNA. RefSeq lists it as uncharacterized. The record is from RefSeq and is a predicted model, not a curated record. NCBI's taxonomy places the organism in Eukaryota, Metazoa, Chordata, Mammalia, Rodentia, Chinchillidae. The transcript is spliced from 2 exons.